UACCAGCACCCCGAGUGGUCGGGACGUUUAUUGGGCCUAAAGCAUCCGUAGCCGGUUCUGCAAGUCUUCCGUUAAAUCCUCCUGCUUAACAGAUGGGCUGCGGAAGAUACUAUAGAGCUAGGAGGCGGGAGAGGCAAGCGGUACUCGAUGGGUAGGGGUAAAAUCCGUUGAUCCAUUGAAGACCACCAGUGGCGAAGGCGGCUUGCCAGAACGCGCUCGACGGUGAGGGAUGAAAGCUGGGGGAGCAAACCGG
This 253-nucleotide ribosomal RNA is filed under the name uncultured bacterium. RNAcentral describes it as "partial 16S ribosomal RNA". It matches the Rfam family "Archaeal small subunit ribosomal RNA", at positions 474 to 727 of the family's 1478-position model. The record is from RNAcentral.